RNAcentral lists this unclassified non-coding RNA (946 nucleotides) under Hevea brasiliensis (rubber tree). Lineage: Eukaryota; Viridiplantae; Streptophyta; Magnoliopsida; Malpighiales; Euphorbiaceae. The record is from RNAcentral.
CAAUGUACCCAAUAAUAACUCAAUAGCAAAGAUUAAAAGGAGCAAAUACAACACGUAACAGCAAACAAUGGACAAUAAAUGGGCCAAAACAUGUUUCUUAACAUAUAACUGCACUUUAAAAAAAUGGAAAUGCAAAACUCGAAAAUACCAGUAUCCUAGAGAACAAACGGUGGUAGACAGACACUCAAUUCUUCGCCACAGAAUGAUACACAUGAAUAAUCUUUCUCUUCGACCAACAACAGUAAAUUCUAAAUAAGGAAGAAUGCAUACCUAUAAUCUAACAUGCUUAAGAAAAUGACAAACAGGAUAUAUGAUAUUAAGCGGAAGUUAAAGCUUUGCACAUGUACUAAUCAACAAAAAGGACAAAAGUAAUACAACAAGACAUUAUUUUGUAGGCAUGAAAGAGGGAUGGACUUCCAAAUUUUUACAAUUUCAAAGAGGAAGAAAGGUAUGAACAUGCUUUAAUAGUUAUUAAGAUAGUUAUUUAAAUAACACCAACAAAAAUUGACCCGUGCUUUAGUAAGUAAAGGAGACAAAUGUAUUCUCGACUACAACUAGAAUUUAAAAAUAUCGGGUGACGAAUGAACAAAGGGACGAACAAAAGAAAUUUCCAUUCAAAACUAGACAGAUUUGCAGGCAUGCUAUUUUGAAGUACAUCUGAAAUAACUAAAUGUGUGACUGCAUAAUGCACCCUAUACUCUCAAAACAUAUGACGGAAGCACGAAUAUUACUACAAUAAAAAAAACAAGCAUAAAACGAUGACAAACCAGUAAACAAACUAUACUUGAAGCAAAUACAGUGACCACAAGUUCAGGAUGAGUGAAAAAGAGACAGAGAAAACAUGCUCUAAUCAGUCAUUUAAACGACUUGAAAACAAAACAUAAGCCACCUCAAAUCCAACAUAUUGAACAUAUUGAACAUGAAAUCUAAAUAAAAGGGGUUAGAG